UACGGAGGGGGCUAGCGUUGUUCGGAAUUACUGGGCGUAAAGCGCACGUAGGCGGCUUUGUAAGUUAGAGGUGAAAGCCCAGAAGCUCAACUCUGGAAUUGCCUUUAAGACUGCAUCGCUUGAAUCAUGGAGAGGUGAGUGGAAUUCCGAGUGUAGAGGUGAAAUUCGUAGAUAUUCGGAAGAACACCAGUGGCGAAGGCGACUCACUGGACAUGUAUUGACGCUGAGGUGCGAAAGCGUGGGGAGCAAACAGGG
Molecule: ribosomal RNA, 255 nt
Filed under: uncultured bacterium
Lineage: Bacteria
Description: partial 16S ribosomal RNA
Rfam family: Bacterial small subunit ribosomal RNA
Source: RNAcentral